CCUACGGGAGGCUGCAGUGGGGAAUUUUGGACAAUGGGCGCAAGCCUGAUCCAGCUAUUCCGCGUGUGGGAUGAAGGCCCUCGGGUUGUAAACCACUUUUGUAGAGAACGCAAAGACACCUUCGCAUAACGGGUGUUGCUGACGGUACUCUAAGAAUAAGCACCGGCUAACUACGUGCCAGCAGCCGAGGUAAUACGUAGGGUGCGAGCGAUAAUCGGAAUUACUGGGCGGAAAGGGUGGGCAGGCGGUUGAGUAAGACAGAUGUGAAAUCCCCGAGCUUAAAUUGGGAAUGGGAUAUGUGACUGGUGGACGAGAGUGUGGGAGAGGGAGGGGGAAUGCCAGGUGUAGCAGGGAAAUGCGUAGAUAUGUGGAAGAAAACCGAGGGCGAAGGCAGCCUCCCGGGACAUAACUGACGCUGAGGCACGAAAGCGUGGGGAGCAAACAGGAUUAGAUACCCGUGUAGUC
This 465-nucleotide ribosomal RNA is filed under the name uncultured bacterium. Its description in RNAcentral is "partial 16S ribosomal RNA". It matches the Rfam family "Bacterial small subunit ribosomal RNA", at positions 338 to 795 of the family's 1533-position model. The record is from RNAcentral.